CUAAGGCGAGGCUGAAAAGCGUAGUCGAUGGGAAGCAGGUAAAUAUUCCUGCACCAGCUGGAAGUGACGGAUGGCAUAACUUGUAAGGGCUUAUUGGAUUGUCCUUGCAGGGGCGUUGUCCCUGGAAAUAACUCCAUCAGAGACCGUACCCGAAACCGACACAGGUGGUCAGGUAGAGAAUACUCAGGCGCUUGAGAGAACUCGGGUGAAGGAACUAGGCAAAAUGGUGCCGUAACUUCGGGAGAAGGCACGCUGGCGUUAGGUGAAAGGACUAGCUCCUGGAGCCGAAGCCAGUCGCAGAUACCAGCUGGCUGCAACUGUUUAAUAAAAACACAGCACUGUGCAAA
This 347-nucleotide ribosomal RNA is filed under the name Leptospira borgpetersenii serovar Ballum. RNAcentral describes it as "partial 23S ribosomal RNA". It matches the Rfam family "Bacterial large subunit ribosomal RNA", at positions 1391 to 1829 of the family's 2925-position model. Lineage: Bacteria; Pseudomonadati; Spirochaetota; Leptospiria; Leptospirales; Leptospiraceae. The record is from RNAcentral.